Molecule: ribosomal RNA, 440 nt
Filed under: Alcaligenes faecalis
Lineage: Bacteria; Pseudomonadati; Pseudomonadota; Betaproteobacteria; Burkholderiales; Alcaligenaceae
Description: bacterial SSU rRNA
Rfam family: Bacterial small subunit ribosomal RNA
Source: RNAcentral
CCGUCCCCUGGAUGGGGACCUGAUCAGCCAUCCCGCGUGUAUGAUGAAGGCCUUCGGGUUGUAAAGUACUUUUGGCAGAGAAGAAAAGGUAUCCCCUAAUACGGGAUACUGCUGACGGUAUCUGCAGAAUAAGCACCGGCUAACUACGUGCCAGCAGCCGCGGUAAUACGUAGGGUGCAAGCGUUAAUCGGAAUUACUGGGCGUAAAGCGUGUGUAGGCGGUUCGGAAAGAAAGAUGUGAAAUCCCAGGGCUCAACCUUGGAACUGCAUUUUUAACUGCCGAGCUAGAGUAUGUCAGAGGGGGGUAGAAUUCCACGUGUAGCAGUGAAAUGCGUAGAUAUGUGGAGGAAUACCGAUGGCGAAGGCAGCCCCCUGGGAUAAUACUGACGCUCAGACACGAAAGCGUGGGGAGCAAACAGGAUUAGAUACCCCCGUAGUCCA